This 6841-nucleotide long non-coding RNA is filed under the name Homo sapiens (human). Its description in RNAcentral is "HSALNT0257986". Lineage: Eukaryota; Metazoa; Chordata; Mammalia; Primates; Hominidae. The record is from RNAcentral.
AAGCAGCUGACUUCAGGGCUAGGCUGGUCUCCAGCAUCAUAAGAGCAAAGGCAUGCUUUGUGGUUACAGAUUGGCACUGGAGCGGCCCUCCCUCCCUCUCUUUUGGGGACCUCGAGGGUCCAGGGGCGAGGGGAGCCGUGCCAGCAGCCUGCCUCAGUGUGUGUUCUCUGAGCACCUCGUGACCUUGCUGGGAGUGUGUCUGAUCAGCCGCUUCCCUUGUGACCAAAUAUUUGGUCAUGGCAGCAGGAGAGAAUUCCAUCAGUGGACAGCUCUAUUUUUAAGGCUCUGGCUUUGUUUUCUCUUUCCUGAGAGGCAGUCCCUGCAGCAGGCUUGAGCCUCUCUCACUGACAGCCUGCCUCGCAUAAUGUUAAGCAGGCAUCGGACACUUGCUGGAAGGCAGGGAAUUGCAAUGAAAGAGCACGGAGGUGAGAAGCUGUGCUCCUUGGGGUGAAGGCAGCUUCUGUGCUCCUGGGAUCUACUGUUAAGCCAGGGUGACGCCAGCUUGCAUGCUACCGGAGGGGAAGAGAAAAUUUGGACACACAGGGAGAAAACCACAGGGAGGAGAUGGCCAUCUACAAUUCCAGAAAAGCAGCCUCAGAAGAAACCAAUCUGCAAACAUCUUUAUCUGCAACUCCCUGCCUCCCAAAUGGAGUAAAGAGACAGAAAGGGAAUGAAUUUCCAAGAAGACCAGCGUAGAACGGAAAAAUAUCAGAGGAGGGAGAAUUGUUAAGGAUUUCCAGUAUCUCAAGUGUGGAUGCUGUCCUGAGCUGACCCAAGGCUCUGGAAAGGUAGGAGCUCUCUUUUGGGGGAAGAAGGGAAGAAUCCCAUUCCUGAAUGAGCAGGUGCAGACACUUGCAAGAUAAGAGGCACACACAGAGAUGUUUACCUGAAGAACUGCCUGGUGGAUGGCUAAGAAAGUGGCCCUGCCUAACACACACGUACGGAGAGACGGAGUUUGCAGCAAGACAGUGAAUUAUCUGCUUCUCAGUGGUGGCAGGGCCCUGUGAGUAGAAUCCUUACAUGUCCUCUUCCAUGGGCUUGUGGGAUAAGAGCAGAGCAGCCUGUAGGCCUGUCCAUCCCCAGCCUUGAGGUAAAUCCCACCAGUGAACAAGAUCCACCCAUCCACCCAGAGCUCCCUAUUAGCCUUGUGAGAGAAUGGCCAGAAAUAAAACAGAAACUCCUUUAUUCACAAAUCCCUAAUUUAUAAAUACUUUGAAACAAUGAAGAAUUGCCAGCUGCUGUGGUAAACAGAGCACAGAAGAGAGGUGAGUAAAGGUUCUAGUUAGCACUCGCUGAGCACUUUGUGCUGGCACUUUUCUAAAGAUUUUGCAAAUGUUAACUGAUGUAAUUCUCACAUCCAUUCUCUGGGGUGGUUUUCUUUUUCUUUUUUUUUUUUUUUGAGAUGGAGUCUCGCUCUGUCGCCCAGGCUGGAGUGCAGUGGCGUGAUCUCGGCUCACUGCAAGCUCCGCCUCCCGGGUUCACGCCAUUCUCCUGCCUCAGCCUCCUGAGUAGCUGGGACUACAGGCGCCCGCCACCACACCCGGCUAAUUUUUUGUAUUUUUUAGUACAGACGGGGUUUCACCGUGUUGGCCAGGAUGGUCUCGAUCUCCUGACCUCGUGAUCCGCCCACCUAGCCCUCCCGAAGUGCUGGGAUUACAGAGGUGAGCCACCACGCCUGGCCUCUGGGGUGGUUUUCACAAAGGAGGAAACCAAAGCACAAAGCCUAGGUGGCUCGCUCUAGGUCAACAACAAGCCAAUGCCAGAGCUGGGAUGAGAACCCAGGUUCUGUGUCUGUCAUGAACAUACACUGCGUGGCUCUGAAGAGAACAGAGAAAGUCAAAAGGAGAUAAUUUCUUAUAGACUUUAAAUAAUUUUUCCAGAGAAAUUCAAGAAAACAUCACAUCCAUAGAAACAAAACAAAGCCAAGUUGCUAUAUAAAAGAAACAAUAUGUAAAUGAGAACAAAUCAUUGGAAAUGAAAAAUACGACGGCCAAAAUAAAAAUGCAAUUAAAAAGUUGUAGAAGUCAUCAAAUCUUUCAAAGUAUAGAGCAAAACACAAAGGAAUACAAAAGAAAAAUAAAAUUUGAGGAGCACUGGCAAUAAAUUUAUUGAGAGGGCAGUCGCCAUCUAAUAAAUGUUCUAGAAAAAGAGAAGUGGAAAAAAAUUAGGGAGGCUACUGCAGAAAAAGAAUACUGUUUCUUAGAACUGAGGUUCUGAGAGUAUCUGAGGUUUUAGAUUUAAAAUGUCCACUGAUUUCUUGGUAGCAUGAAUACAAAAUGACCUAGACAUAAACUUAUUCCCAGGAAAUUUCAAAGCACCAAGUGUCAAGAGAAGCUUAUUCACUUCCAGAAGUGAACCAGAAACUUCAGACUGGUACAGAAAUAUUUCACUGCCACUAGUAGGCAUGAGAAGGCAGAGACAUGAUGUUGUGAAGAAAAAUUAUUUUGAGCUUGGGUAUUUCCAGGCUUCCCUGUUCUUGCCAUCCUGCUUUGUGCCCCGGGAGACCAGCAGCUAUGUGUUACCUUGCCCUCUGGCUUUCAGUUGGGUUGUAAGGAUGAGAGACAAAAGUAGAAGACUGAGAGGAGAAAGAGAAUGAAGUCAAAGUAUGUAUCCCCUCCUUAUGUUCCUGCCAGAGAGUUGCAGAUUGGCUGCCUCUCUCUACUCAAGACCACAGGUCAAACCAGGAAGCCCUCCCUGUUCAUCUUCUCUCUCUUUGGGCUUGCAGUGGAUCUGCCAUGAUCCCUUUGAUUUUCCUAAAUGUUACCCACAUCUUGUAAUACCCAUAUCUUUCCUUAUCCAAAUUUGCCCUAUUACAUAGUUAGGGGAACUAUCUGAGACAGAUAAACUCUGAUAAAGAGUGUGGAAUUUCAAAUCUAGAAAUUCAUACUCUCUAAACUAUUAAUAGAGUAAGAAAUAGAGAUACAUGUAUAUUACCUAUGGUCAUGAAAAUAACUAAAACGAUAACUAAAUAUAAAAUUAUAAUGUCAAGAAAAUGUAUAAGGAAGACAUGAGAGGGAACUAGAGUAGUGUAAAGAGAUAAGUUAUUUGUCUCCCAAAUUCAAGUGAGGAAAGAAAAGAAGUUUUAUAGGAGGAAUGCAAGCCCUUUCAAAUGAUCAGGCCUAGAGAGACGUGAAAAUGAGACAGCAAUCACAUCCUACUCCUGCCUUUAAGCUAUGUAUUCACCUAUUGAAACAGCUUGCUAUUGUCACAGAUAGCUAUGAAUUAAACUAAUAAUGCUUCACCAGACACUGUAUUCCACACCCCACAGUGUAAAGAAUGUAUAGCUGAUCAGAGAUCAGUUUUAUUUCUGUAAACCAAUAAGAAUUCCUCACAGAACCUUGCACCAACACUCUCUCUGUCUCCCGUUCUCUCUCUCCUUUUUUUCCUUUAAAAGCCUGCCUGUAACAAAGGCCAAAUAAAGCUCAUAUCCAAGGUUACUUGGACCUGAACCUCCUGGGCAGCUGUCCUUAUCUUAGAAUGUGAGCUAAAGACUCACAAGGCUCACAACUUUGGAAAGGAGAUCUUUAUUUCUCAUGAAGGCCUGCAACCUGCAGGCUGGCCAUCCCACGGGCUGGGAAGUGUAGCCUCCAGCCAAAGCCCAAAGCAAGCAUGUUGAGGGAGGUGUGGAGGGAACAGGAAUUUAGGCUCAACAGGCUGGCUAAACAUAAGUAUUUAACAAGCUAUAGGAGACAUCAUGAAUAUCUGUGAAAGGAGAAACAAGCACAUGUGCAACUGAGCUUCAUGCUUCUUCAUGGGUCACAUGUUUUAAAAAAUGGUGAUGUUGGCAUGAUCUAAGAGUGGAUAUCUGGGCCCUCAGAUAUCCAAAAGGUGACACAGAGAAGGACACAAAAACUCUCACUAAGCAUCCUCCACAAAUUGGCCAAAACUAGUCCAGAGAUGGUCAGUUUUUAGGUGGGGAAGCAUCGUGAAACUGCUGAGCUGUUGGGUCAAAUGUGUCUAUGUCAAAUGAAUCCAGUUGUAGCCUCAGAUGACUGGCUAAAGGUGAUUAAAAAAUGAGUUGUCUGUUUCUUGCUUUCUAGAGCUGGUUUCUGUUUACUCCUUAGGAAGGAAUUCUGGUUAAAGGAUAAUGAGGAAGGGACUUACUGAGGCGUGUCUGACCUCCCAUCCCAUCAUGGCCAGGAACCCAGUUUUUAAGGUUUAUCUGGGAUUCUCCUGGCCAACAGGGGAAUCCGUUUAGUCCACUGAGGGACUUAGGAUUUUUAUUUCUCAGUCUCAAGUAAACUGUUUAAAUCUCAUUUUGCAUUUCAUUCUCUUCUUUUUAGGUGGGCAAAAGAGAAAAAGUAGGAGAAUUCCUAGAAUUUAUAUUUAGAGUAAGUGAGCAGCAGUGUCAAUGCUAAAAAAUUAUAUGGUUAUCCUAAAAAAUUUCUUUCUGCAAAGCUGUGGCUGAGUUGGUAAUAAAUUAUUAACCACUGGAAAUGACAAGAUGUGUAAAACCACCCUCUAUUUUUUAAAUAUUUGGCUAUUCCACUCCUCCCAUAAGCUUCCUUUGUCCCAAGAUUAAUUAUUCUAAAAUGGUUGGGCCAUUUCUCCAGAAUACAGAAUAUGUUAGCUGUCAUUAUUGCAGACUUGUGAAAUAGUAGCGUUUGAAUCUCUUGUCUGAGCACGGCUGUGAGAGGUAUUCAGAGGAUUCUGUGGGCAGGUAAUGUUUUGGUUUCAUGAGCAGGAGCAAAAAUCCAGAAGGCUUUAACACUUCAGUGCAUCCCAAGGCACCCCUAUUGAGUAUUGUAUAGAGGAUCUCAAAAGAUAACAGCCACCUGAGGAAGGAAAGCAGCUCAUAGCAGACUGAGCUGUGUGAGGUCUGCGAAAUUUAUCAGGCCCAGAGAGGCAUGAGCUUUGGACUUCAGUCCUUCCCCUGCAUCCAUUCCCAGGGGCAAUUAUUUUAAGACAUUUUUGUUCCUGAGUAGCCGCCCAGCCCAUUACCUUCAUGUUCCUGUAAUAUAUGAAGCAAAGAACAAUGAAUAGCCAAUUAAUAACAUAUUAUUUCAAUGUAAACUCUAGAAACUAUCUCUUUUUUUCCUUAAAAACUCACUUGUAACUGCUACAGUGAGAGUGUAUAUUCAGGACAACUUGAAUCUAUGUUCCCAGGUGGCCAUCUUCAAGCUCAGAUAAACUCUAUACUUAAUCAUAAUUUCUGAAUCCCAUUGUUUAAGGUUGGUACACCACAAUGGCCUAGCAUCCUUCUGUUCCAUGAGAGCAAUAGACACCAUUCAAAGGGCUAUUCCUCUCCACUCUCUAGACUCUCUUUGUACCAGCAAGUUAACUGUUGAGCAAUUCUUUGGUAAUUAAACAAUCAUUACAGCAUUAUUAGCUCCACACUCUGGAUGACAUCUUUAAGCCUCUCUCAUGUGUUAAGCAUGUCUAAUGUGUUUUUCCACUUUUGGAUAACUUAAGAGACCAAAAUAUACCACCUCAAAAUAUGCCUCUUUGGCAUAAGCAUUAUUUUGAGCCAACUAUUUUUGAGAAACAGCAGACACCGGAGAAACAGAGUAGAAGUUACUCUUUUGCAAGGAAGACUUACUUCUAUAAUGAAAAUCUCCUUUUGUAAUGAUACCUUCCUUUCAGUACCAGGAAGGAAAGGAUGGCUAAAUCACAAAAGACUCAUCUAUGGAGAAAGCACCAAUUUAAAUCUGCAUAACAAACCUCACCCUUUUCUAUCAUGCUUUCCCUGGUCACCUCCCCAGGACUGGCUUCCCCCCCAGUCUUCUUUCUUUGUUUUAGAUGAAGAUGGUAUUUAAGCCUAAAUUCUAAGCCAUUUCUUUUAUAUUUCCCCUUUUUUCCUGAGUAUCUCCCAUGCACACCUAAAGAAUACAUGUCAAUAAACUUCUGUUUGUUUUGUCCUUUUUUUGUUUGUUUGUUUUACAGGGGAUCCUAGCUAAAUAGAAGAGUAGAGGAAAAACGACUGUUUCAACCCUUACCGUAAUCAACUUUAUUGUGAUAAAGAUUCACAUAUUUUGCAAUAUGUCUUAUCUUUAUGGAAAUUAAAAAAUCCAAUCACAGAAUCAAAACUUCAGAAAUAUAGCCAAAUAUAAGUGGAAAUUUAGUAUACAAUAAAUGCAACAUCUCAAAUUAGUGGAGAAAAAUAGAAUUAUUAAAAAGCAGUAUUGGAAAAACCAUAUACCUAUAUGGAACAAGAUAAAAUUAGAUCUAUUCAUUACAUUCAAUACCAAAAAAUUCUAAAUAUAUCAGAUAUUUAAAUGUAAAAAAAAGCAACAAAAUAAUUUUUAAAACUUCGAUGAACUUUUCUAUUAUCUAGGAAUAAAGAAAUGUUUUCCUAACAUAAAAUUUUAAAACGUAAGAGAAAUGUUUAGUAAAUUUAAAUAAAUAAAAUAUUUAAGAUCUUAGUAUGAUCGUGUCAGAGGCAUUUGAACCAGUGUGACUCCAUCUUGAGUAGGGGCUGGGUAAAAUAAGGCUGAGACCUACUGGGCUGCAUUCCCAGGAGGCUAGGCAUUCUUAGUCACAGGAUGAGAUAGGAGGUCAGCACAAGAUAUAGGUCACAAAGACCUUGCUGAUAAAACACGUUGCAGUAAAGAAGCCAGCCAAAUUCUACCAAAACCAAGAUGGCAAUGAAAGUGAGCUCUGGUCAUCCUCACUGCUCAUUAUACACUAAUUAUAAUGCAUUAGCAGUCUAAGGGACACUCCCACCAGUGCCAUGACAGUUUACAAAUGCCAUGGCAGUAUCAGGAAGCUACCCUAUAUUGUCUAAAAUGGGAAGGAACCCUCAGUUCCAGGAAUUGCCCACCCCUUUUCUGGAAAACUCAUGAAUAAUCCACCCCUUUUUAGCAUAUAAUCAAAAAAUAACUAUAAGUAUCCUUAGUCCAGC